This 12008-nucleotide long non-coding RNA is filed under the name Capsella rubella. The record is from RNAcentral. Lineage: Eukaryota; Viridiplantae; Streptophyta; Magnoliopsida; Brassicales; Brassicaceae.
GACAUGAUUUUUGAAUCUUUCCCGAAUAAAAGAGCACGUUGAAGCUGGCUGAAGCGGUACACGUAUCAAGUGGGACCCAUUACAAAUGAUCUCUUGGAUCCGCGGUAAAGGAUAUAUGCGAAUGCAUGCAAUGUACUAACGGAUGCGAUCAUACCAGCACUAAUGCACCGGAUCCCAUCAGAACUCCGCAGUUAAGCGUGCUUGGGCGAGUGUAGUACUAGGAUGGGUGACCUCCCGGGAAGUCCUCGUGUUGCAUCCCUUUUUUAUUUUUAUUUUUUUCUUAUAACUUCUCAUUUUUGGUUUAAACAAUUAGAACCAUUAUAAUUCAAAUUGUUGCUCUAUUAAGGUUGUUUGAUUAUUUUUAUUUUUUUGAAAAAACUACAAAGUAGUCGUAUUAAGAUGGAUGCGUCCCCGGAAAUGCUAUGUUGUAGUUUAUUCUUUAUUAUUUUCGAUUCCAAAGACGCUAAUACGUAAGGAACGCUGUAACUUUUCAACCGUGAGGACCUAUUCCGCCAAUAAUACCUUUUCGGAAAGCUCUCAAAAAGUUACUACUUGUAUAUUGGUUUUGGUUCCAUUGGGCCUCAUUUCCGAACCCAAAUUUUGACGUUUAGGGUGUUUCCAUGAGGUUUUUGGGAUUUGGAAGAGAUUAAAGGAUCAAAAAACAUGUUCAGACAUUAUUUAUGCGUCUUUUAGGAAUAAAAAAGCACUUUUAGGAAUAAAAGAGCACGUUGAAGCUGGCUAAAAUGGUCCACGUAUCAAGUGGGACCCAUUACAAAUGAUCUCUUAAAUCCGCAGUAAAGGAUAUAUGCGAUUGUAUGCAAUGUACUAACGGAUGCGAUCAUUCCAGCACUAAUGAACCGGAUCCCAUCAUAACUCCGCAGUUAAGCGUACUUGCGAGAGUAGUACUAAGAUGGGUGACUUCCCGGGAAGUCCUCGUGUUGCAUCCCUUUUUAUUUUUAUUUUUUCUUAUAACUUCUCAUUUUUGCUUUAAACAACUAGUACCAUUAUAAUUCAAUUUUAUGCUCUGUUGAGGUNNNNNNNNNNNNNNNNNNNNNNNNNNNNNNNNNNNNNNNNNNNNNNNNNNNNNNNNNNNNNNNNNNNNNNNNNNNNNNNNNNNNNNNNNNNNNNNNNNNNUUUUUUUUUUUUUGUAAAAACUACAAAGUAAUCGUAUUAAGAUGGAUGCGUCCCCGGAAAUGCUAUGUUGUAGAUUAGUCUUUAUUAUUUUCGAUUCCACAGACGGUAAUACGUAUGGAACGCUGUAACUUUUAAUCCGUGAGGACCUAUUCUGCCAAUAUUACUUUUUCGGAAAGCUCUUGAAAAGUUACAAAGUGGUGAUGGGUCUUCAUUCCAUUGGGCCCCAUAUUCGACCCCAAAUUUUGACGUUUAGGGUGUUUCCAUGAUGUUUUUAUUAUUUGGAAGAGGUUAAUGGAUCGAAAAAAUGUUCAGAGAUGAUAUAUGCAUCUUUACUGAAUAAAAGAGCACGUUGAAGCUGGCUAUAAUGGUCUAUGUACCAAGUGGGACCCACUACAAUUGAUCUCUUGAAUCCGCGGUAAAGGAUAUAUGCGAUUGUAUGCAAUCUACUAACAUAUGCAAUCUACUAACUUUUUAAGAGCUUUCAAAAAAUGUAUUAUCGGCGGAAUAGGUCCUUACAGUUGAAAAGUUACAGACUUCCGUACGUAUUGGAAUCGAAAAUAAUAAAGAAUAAACUACAACAUAGCAUUUCCGGGGACCCAUCCAUCUUAAUACGAUUAUUUUGUAGUUUUUUCAACAAAAAAAAAAUAAUCGAACAACCUCAAUCGAGCAACAAUUUGAAUUAUAAUGGUACUAAAUGUUUAGUACAUUGCAUACAAUCGCGCAUAUCCUUUACCGAGGAUUCAUGAGAUCAUUUGUAGUGGGUCCCACUUGGUACUUGGACCACUUUAGCCAGCUUCAACGUGCUCUUUUAUUCGGUAAAGACGCAUAAAUCGUGUCCAAACACUUUUUAGAUCCUUUAAUCUCUUCAAAUCACAAAAACCUCAUGGAAACACCCUAAACGUCAAAAUUUGGGGUCAAAAAUGAGGCUCGAAGGAACAAAGACCGAUCGCCACUUUGUAACUCUUUGAGAGCUUUCCGAAAAGAUAUUACUGGCGAAAUAGGUCCCCACAGUUUAAAAGUUACGGCGUUCCUUACGUAGUAGCGUCUUUAAAACUUCUCAUUUUUGGUUUAAACAACUAGUAUCAUUAUAAUUCAACUUGUUGCUCUAUUGAGGUUGUUCGAUUAUUUUAUUUUUGUUGAAAAAACUACAACGUAAUCGUAUUAAGAUGGAUGCGAACCGGAAAUGCUAUGUUGUAGUUUAUUCUUUAUUAUUUUCGAUUCCACAGACGCUAACACGUACGAAACGCGGUAACUUUUAAACCGUGAGGACAUAUUCCGGCAAUAAUACCUUUUCGGAAAGCUCUCGAAAAGUUACAAAGUGGCGAUCGGUCUCUGUUCCUUCGAGCCUCAUUUUCGACCCUAUAUUAUGACGUUUAGGGUGUUUCCAUGAGGUUUUUGUGAUUAAAGGAUCGAAAAAAGUGUUCGGACAUGAUUUAUGCGUCUUGAUCAAAUAAAAGAGCACGUUGAAGCUGGCUAAAGCGGUCCACGUAUCAAGUGGGACCCACUAAAAAGAACUCUUGAGUCCGCGGUAAAGGAUAUAUGCGAUUGUAUGCAAUGUACUAAAGGAUGCGAUCAAACCAGCAUUAAUGCACGAUCCCAUUAGAACUCCGCAGUCAAGCGUGCUUGGGCGAGAGUAGUACUAGGAUGGGUGACCUCCCGGGAAAUCCUCUUGUUGCAUCCCUUUUUUGUUUUUUUCUUUUAACCUCUCAUUUUUGUUUAACCAACUAGUACCAUUAUAAUUCAAAUUGUUGCUCUAUUGAGGUUGUUCGAUUAUUAUUUUUUUGUUGAAAAAACUACAAAGUAAUNNNNNNNNNNNNNNNNNNNNNNNNNNNNNNNNNNNNNNNNNNNNNNNNNNNNNNNNNNNNNNNNNNNNNNNNNNNNNNNNNNNNNNNNNNNNNNNNNNNNNNNNNNNNNNNNNNNNNNNNNNNNNNNNNNNNNNNNNNNNNNNNNNNNNNNNNNNNNNNNNNNNNNNNNNNNNNNNNNNNNNNNNNNNNNNNNNNNNNNNNNNNNNNNNNNNNNNNNNNNNNNNNNNNNNNNNNNNNNNNNNNNNNNNNNNNNNNNNNNNNNNNNNNNNNNNNNNNNNNUUAUGCGUCUUUACCGUAUAAAAGAGCACGUUGAAGCUGGCUACAGCGGUCCACGUACCAAGUGGGACCCAUUACAAAUGAUAUCAUGAAUCCACGGUAACUUGUAUGCAAUGUACUAACGGAUGGGAUCAUACCGGCACUAAUGCACCGGAUCCCAUAAGAAAUCCGCAGAUAAGCGUGUUUGGCUGAGAGUAGUACUAGGAUUGUUGACCUCCAGGGAAGUCCUAGUGUUGCAUCCCUUUUUAUUUUUAUUUUUUCUUANNNNNNNNNNNNNNNNNNNNNNNNNNNNNNNNNNNNNNNNNNNNNNNNNNNNNNNNNNNNNNNNNNNNNNNNNNNNNNNNNNNNNNNNNNNNNNNNNNNNAUUCAACUUAUUGCUCUAUUGAGGUUGUUCGAUUAUUUUUAUUUUUUUCAAAAAACUACAAACUAAUCGUACUAAGAUGGAUGCGUCCUCGGAAAUGCUUUGUUGUAGUAUAUUAUUUAUUAUUUCGAUUCCAAAGACGCUAAUACGUACGGAACUUCGUAAUUUUUAAACCGUCAUGACCUAUUCCGCCGAUAAUACCUUUUCGGAAAGCUCUCGAAAAGUUACUGAAUGGCAAUGUGUCGUCGUUCCUCUGGGCCUCAUUUUCGAACCCAAAUUUUGACGUUUUUGGUGUUUCCAUGAGGAUUUUGGGAUUUGGAAGAGAUUAAAAAAUCCGAAAACGUGUUCAGACAUGAUUUAUGCGUCUUUUAGGUAUAGAAGAGCACGUUGAAGCUGGCUAAAAUGGUCCUCGUAUCAAGUGGGACCCAUUACAAAUGAUCUCUUGAAUCCGCGGUAAAGGAUAUAUGCGAUUGCAUGCAAUGUACUAACAUAUGCGAUCAGUCCAGCACUAAUGCACCGGAUCCCAUCAUAACUCCGCAGUUAAGCGUAAUUGGGCAAGAGUAGUACUAGGUUAAGUGACUUCCCGGGAAGUCCUCGUGUUGCAUCCCUUUUUAUUUUUAGUUUUUCUUAAAACUUCUCAUUUUUGGUUUAAACAACAAGUAUCAUUAUAAUUCAACUUGUUUCUCUAUUGAGGUUGUUCGAUUAUUUUAUUUUUGUUGAAAAAACUACAAAGUAAUUGUAUUAAGAUGGAUGUGAACCGGAAAUGCUAUGUUGUAGUUUAUUCUUUAUUAUUUUCGAUUCCACAGACGCUAACACGUACGAAACGCGGUAACNNNNNNNNNNNNNNNNNNNNNNNNNNNNNNNNNNNNNNNNNNNNNNNNNNNNNNNNNNNNNNNNNNNNNNNNNNNNNNNNNNNNNNNNNNNNNNNNNNNNGAACACAAAUUUUGACGUUUAGGGUGUUUCCAUGAGGAUUUUGGGAUUUGGAAGAGAUUAAAGGAUCCGAAAACGUGUUCAGACAUGAUUUAUGCGUCUUUUAGGAAUAGAAGAGCACGUUGAAGCUGGCUAAAAUGGUCCUCGUAUCAAGUGGGACCCAUUACAAAUGAUCUCUUUAAUCCGCGGUAAAGUAUAUAUGCGAUUGCAUGCAAUGUAGUAAGAAAUGCGAUCAGUCCAGCACUAAUGCACUGGAUCCCAUCAUAACUCCGCAGUUAAGCUUACUUGGGCAAGAGUAGUACUAGGUUGGGUGACUUCCCGGGAAGUCCUCGUGUUGCAUCCCUUUUUAUUUUAAUUUUUUCUCAAAACUUCUCAUUUUUGGUUUAAACAACUAGUAUCAUUAUAAUUCAACUUGUUGCUCUAUUGAGGUUGUUCGAUUAUUUUAUUUUUCUUGAAUAAACUACAAAGUAAUCGUAUUAAGAUUGUUGCAAAUGCUAUGUUGUAGUUUAUUCUUUAUUAUUUUCGAUUCCACAGACGCUAAUACGUACGAAACGCGGUAACUUUUAAACCGUGAGGACAUACUCCGCCAAUAAUACCUUUUCGGAAAGCUCUCGAAAAGUUACAAAGUGGCGAUUGGUCUCUGUUCCUUCGAGCCUCAUUUUCGACCAUCAAUUUUGACGUUUAGGGUGUUUCCAUGAGGUUUUUGUGAUUAAAGGAUCGAAAAAAGUGUUCGGACUUGAUUUAUGCGUCUUUACCGAAUAAAAGAGCACGUUGAAGCUGGCUAAAGCGGUCCACGAAUCAAGUGGGACCCACUAAAAAUGAUCUCUUGAGUCCGGGGUAAAGGAUAUAUGCGAUUGUAUGCAAUGUACUAAAGGAUGCGAUCAAACCAGCACUAAUGCACGGAUCCCAUUAGAACUCCGCAGUCAAGCGUGCUUGGGCGAGAGUACUACUAGGAUGAAUGACCUCUCGGGAAAUCCUCUUGUUGCAUCCCUUUUUUGUUUUUUUCUUUUAACCUCUCAUUUUUGUUUAACCAACUAGUACCAUUAUAAUUUAAAUUGUUGCUCUAUUGAGGUUGUUCGAUUAUUUAAUUUUUUUGAAAAAACUACAAAGUAAUCGUAUUAAGAUGGAUGCGUCCCCGGAAAUGCUAUGUUGUAGUAUAUUCUUUAUUAUUUUCGAUUCCAAAGACGCUAAUACGUACGGAACGCCGUAACUUUUAAACCGUGAGGACAUAUUCCGCCAAUAAUACCUUUUCGGAAAGCUCUCGAAAAUUUACUGAAUGGCAAUGGGUCUUCGUUCCUCUGGGCCUCAUUUUCGAACCCAAAUUUUGACGUUUAGAUGUUUCCAUGAAGAUUUUGGGAUUUGGAAGAGAUUAAAGGAUCUGAAAACGUGUUCAGACAUGAUUUAUGCGUCUUUUAGGAAUAGAAGAGCACGUUGAAGCUGGCUAAAAUGGUCCUCGUAUCAAGUGGGACCCAUUACAAAUGAUCUCUUGAAUCCGCAGAUAAGCGUGCUUGGGCGAGAGUAGUACUAGGUUGGGUGACUUCCCGGGAAAUCCUCUUCUUGCAUCCCUUUUUCUGUGUUUUUUUCUUUUAACCUCUCAUUUUUGUUUAACCAAAUAGUACCAUUAUAAUUCAAAUUGUUGCUCUAUUGAGGUUGUUCGAUUAUUAUUUUUUUUGUUGAAAAAAUUACAAAGUAAUCGUAUUAAGAUGGAUGCGUCCCCGGAAAUGAUAUGUUGUAGUUUAUUCUUUAUUAUUUUCGAAUCCAUAGACGCUAAUACGUAUGAAAGUCUGUAACUUUUUAACUGUGAUGACCUAUUCCGCCGAUAAUACAUUUUCGGAAAGCUCUAAAGAAGUUACAAUAUGGCAAUGGGUCUUCGUUCCUUUGGGUCGACCCCAAAUUUUGACGUUUAGGGUGUUUCCUUGAGGUUUUUGUGAUUUGGUAGAGAUUAAAGGAUCGAAAAAAGUGUUCGGACAUGAUUUAUGCGUCUUUACCGUAUAAAAGAGCACGUUGAAGCUGGCUACAGCGGUCCACGUACCAAGUGGGACCUAUUACAAAUGAUAUCAUGAAUCCACGGCAAAUUGUAUACAAUGUACUAACGGAUGCGAUCAUACCGGCACUAAUGCACCGGAUCCCAUAAGAAAUCCGCAGAUAUGCGUGCUUGGGCGAGAGUAGUACUAGGAUUAGUGACCUCCAGGGAAAUCCUAGUGUUGCAUCCCUUUUUAUUUUUAUUUUUUCUUAUAACUUCUCAUUUUUUGUUUAAACAACUAGAACCAUUAUAAUUCAACUUGUUGCUCUAUUGAGGUUGUUCGAUUAUUUUUAUUUUUUUGAAAAAACUACAAACUAAUCGUACUAAGAUGGAUGCGUCCCCGGAUAUGCUUUGUUGUAGUAUAUUAUUUAUUAUUUCGAUUCCAAAGACGCUAAUACGUACGGAACACCGUAACUUUUAAACCGUCAGGACCUAUUCCGCCGAUAAUACCUUUUCAGAAAGCUCUCGAAAGUUACUGAAUUGCAAUGUGUCUUCGUUCUUCAGGGCCUUAUUUUUGAACCCAAAUUUUGACGUUUAGGGUGUUUCCAUGAGGAUUUUGGGAUUUGGAAGAGAUUAAAGGAUCCGAAAACGUGUUCAGACAUGAUUUAUGCGUCUUUUAGGAAUAGAAGAGCAUGUUGAAGCUGGCUAAAAUGGUCCUCGUAUCAAGUGGGACCCAUUACAAAUGAUCUCUUGAAUCCGUGGUAAAGGAUAUAUGCGAUUGCAUGCAAUGUACUAACAUAUGCGAUCAGUCCAGCACUAAUGCACCGGAUCCCAUCAUAACUCCGCAGUUAAGCGUACUUGUGCAAGAGUAGUUCUAGGUUGGGUGACUUCCAGGGAAGUCCUCGUGUUGCAUCCCUUUUUAUUUUUAUUUUUUCUUAAAACUUCUCAUUUUUGGUUUAAACAACUAGUAUCAUUAUAAUUCAACUUGUUGCUCUAUUGAGGUUGUUCGAUUAUUUUAUUUUUGUUGAAAAAACUACAACGUAAUCGUAUUAAGAUGGAUGCGAACCGGAAAUGCUAUGUUGUAGUUUAUUCUUUAUUAUUUUCGAUUCCACAGACGCUAACACGUACGAAACGCGGUAACUUUUAAACCGUGAGGACAUAUUCCGGCAAUAAUACCUUUUCGGAAAGCUCUCGAAAAGUUACAAAGUGGCGAUCGGUCUCUGUUCCUUCGAGCCUCAUUUUCGACCCUAUAUUAUGACGUUUAGGGUGUUUCCAUGAGGUUUUUGUGAUUAAAGGAUCGAAAAAAGUGUUCGGACAUGAUUUAUGCGUCUUGACCAAAUAAAAGAGCACGUUGAAGCUGGCUAAAGCGGUCCACGUAUCAAGUGGGACCCACUAAAAAGAACUCUUGAGUCCGCGGUAAAGGAUAUAUGCGAUUGUAUGCAAUGUACUAAAGGAUGCGAUCAAACCAGCAUUAAUGCACGAUCCCAUUAGAACUCCGCAGUCAAGCGUGCUUGGGCGAGAGUAGUACUAGGAUGGGUGACCUCCCGGGAAAUCCUCUUGUUGCAUCCCUUUUUUGUUUUUUUCUUUUAACCUCUCAUUUUUGUUUAACCAACUAGUACCAUUAUAAUUCAAAUUGUUGCUCUAUUGAGUUUGUUCGAUUAUUAUUUUUUUGUUGAAAAAACUACAAAGUAAUCGUAUUAAGAUGGAUGCGUCCCCGGAAAUGAUAUGUUGUAGUUUAUUCUUUAUUAAUUUUGAUUUCAUAGACGCAAAUACCUACGAAAGUCUGUAACUUUUUAACUGUGAUGACCUUUUCCGCCGAUAAUACAUUUUCGGAAAGCUCUAAAAAAGUUACAAUAUGGCAAUGGGUCUUCGUUCCUUUGGGUCGACCCCAAAUUUUGACGUUUAGGGUGUUUCCUUGAGGUUUUUAUGGUCGGUAGAGAUUAAAGGAUCGAAAAAAGUGUUCGGACAUGAUUUAUGCGUCUUUACCGUAUAAAAGAGCACGUUGAAGCUGGCUACAGCGGUCCACGUACCAAGUGGGACCCAUUACAAAUGAUAUCAUGAAUCCACGGUAACUUGUAUGCAAUGUACUAACGGAUGGGAUCAUACCGGCACUAAUGCACCGGAUCCCAUAAGAAAUCCGCAGAUAAGCGUGUUUGGCUGAGAGUAGUACUAGGAUUGUUGACCUCCAGGGAAGUCCUAGUGUUGCAUCCCUUUUUAUUUUUAUUUUUUCUUAUAACUUCUCAUUUUUUGUUUAAACAACUAGAACCAUUAUAAUUCAACUUAUUGCUCUAUUGAGGUUGUUCGAUUAUUUUUAUUUUUUUCAAAAAACUACAAACUAAUCGUACUAAGAUGGAUGCGUCCUCGGAAAUGCUUUGUUGUAGUAUAUUAUUUAUUAUUUCGAUUCCAAAGACGCUAAUACGUACGGAACUUCGUAAUUUUUAAACCGUCAUGACCUAUUCCGCCGAUAAUACCUUUUCGGAAAGCUCUCGAAAAGUUACUGAAUGGCAAUGGGUCGUCGUUCCUCUGGGCCUCAUUUUCGAACCCAAAUUUUGACGUUUUUGGUGUUUCCAUGAGGAUUUUGGGAUUUGGAAGAGAUUAAAAAAUCCGAAAACGUGUUCAGACAUGAUUUAUGCGUCUUUUAGGUAUAGAAGAGCACGUUGAAGCUGGCUAAAAUGGUCCUCGUAUCAAGUGGGACCCAUUACAAAUGAUCUCUUGAAUCCGCGGUAAAGGAUAUAUGCGAUUGCAUGCAAUGUACUAACAUAUGCGAUCAGUCCAGCACUAAUGCACCGGAUCCCAUCAUAACUCCGCAGUUAAGCGUACUUGGGCAAGAGUAGUACUAGGUUAAGUGACUUCCCGGGAAGUCCUCGUGUUGCAUCCCUUUUUAUUUUUAGUUUUUCUUAAAACUUCUCAUUUUUGGUUUAAACAACAAGUAUCAUUAUAAUUCAACUUGUUUCUCUAUUGAGGUUGUUCGAUUAUUUUAUUUUUGUUGAAAAAACUACAAAGUAAUCGUAUUAAGAUGGAUGUGAACCGGAAAUGCUAUGUUGUAGUUUAUUCUUUAUUAUUUUCGAUUCCACAGACGCUAACACGUACGAAACGCGGUAACUUUUAAACCGUGAAGACAUAUUCCGCCAAUAAUACCUUUUCGGAAAGCUCUCGAAAAGUUACAAAGUGGCGAUCGGUCUCUGUUCCUUCGAGCCUCAUUUUCGACCCUAAAUUAUGACGUUUAGGGUGUUUCCAUGAGGUUUUUGUGAUUAAAGGAUCGAAAAAAAUGUUCGGACAUGAUUUAUGCGUCUUUACCGAAUAAAAGAGUACGUUGAAGCUGGGUAAAGCGGUACACGUACCAAGUGGGACCCACUACAAAUGAUCUCUUGAAUCCGCGGUAAAGGAUAUAUGCGAUUGUAUGCAAUGUACUAAAUGAUGCGAUCAAACCAACACUAAUACACCGGAUCCCAUCAGAACUCCGCAGUCAAGCGUGCUUGGGCGAGAGUAGUACUAGGAUUGGUGACCUCCAGGGAAGUCCUAGUGUUGGAUCCCUUUUUAUUUUUAAUUUUUCUUAUAACUUCUCAUUUUUCGUUUAAACAACUAGAACCAUUAUAAUUCAACUUGUUGCUCUAUUGAGGUUGUUCGAUUAUUUUUAUUUUUUGAAAAAACUACAAAGUAAUCGUAUUAUGAUUGAUGCGUCCCCGGAAAUGCUAUGUUGUAGUAUAUUCUUUAUUAUUUUCGAUUCCAAAGACGCUAAUACGUACGGAUUGCCGUAAGUUUUAAACCGUCAGGACCUAUUCCACCGAUAAUACCUUUUCGGAAAGCUCUCGAAAAGUUACUGAGUGAUUAUGGGUCUUCGUUCCUCUGGACCUCAUUUUCGAACACAAAUUUUGACGUUUAGGGUGUUUCCAUGAGGAUUUUGGGAUUUGGAAGAGAUUAAAGGAUCCGAAAACGUGUUCAGACAUGAUUUAUGCGUCUUUUAGGAAUAGAAGAGCACGUUGAAGCUGGCUAAAAUGGUCCUCGUAUCAAGUGGGACCCAUUACAAAUGAUCUCUUUAAUCCGCGGUAAAGUAUAUAUGCGAUUGCAUGCAAUGUACUAAGAAAUGCGAUCAGUCCAGCACUAAUGCACUGGAUCCCAUCAUAACUCCGCAGUUAAGCGUACUUGGGCAAGAGUAGUACUAGGUUGGGUGACUUCCCGGGAAGUCCUCGUGUUGCAUCCCUUUUUAUUUUAAUUUUUUCUCAAAACUUCUCAUUUUUGGUUUAAACAACUAGUAUCAUUAUAAUUCAACUUGUUGCCCUAUUGAGGUUGUUCGAUUAUUUUAUUUUUGUUGAAAAAACUACGAAGUAAUUGUAUUAAGAUGGAUGCGAACCAGAAAUGCUAUGUUGUAGUUUAUUCUUUAUUAUUUUCGAUUCCACAGACGCUCAUACGUACGAAACGCGGUAACUUUUAAACCGUGAGGACAUAUUCCGCCAAUAAUACCUUUUCGGAAAGCUCUCGAAAAGUUACAAAGUGGUGAUCGGUCUCUGUUCCUUCGAGCGUCAUUUUCGACCCUAAAUUUUUACGUUUAGGGUGUUUCCAUGAGGUUUUUGUGAUUAAAGAAUCGAAAAAAGUGUUCGGACAUGAUUUAUGCGUCUUUACCGAAUAAAAGAGCACGUUGAAGCUGGCUAAAGCGGUCCACGUAUCAAGUGGGACCCACUAAAACUGAUCUCUUGAGUCCGCGUUAAAGGAUAUAUGCGAUUGAAUGCAAUGUACUAAAGUAUGCGAUCAAACCAGCACUAAUGCACGGAUCCCAUUAGAACUCCGCAGUCAAGCGUGCUUGGGCGAGAGUAGUACUAGGAUGAGUGACCACCCGGGAAAUCCUCUUGUUGCAUCCCUUUUAUUGUUUUUUUUUCUUUUAACCUCUCAUUUUUUUUUAACCAACUAGUACCAUUAUAAUUUAAAUUGUUGCUCUAUUGAGGUUGUUCGAUUAUUAUUUUUUUGUUGAAAAAACUACAAAUUAAUCGUAUUAAGAAGGACGUGUCCCCGGAAAUGCUAUGUUGUAGUUUAUUCUUUAUUAUUUUUGAUUCCAUAUACGCUAAUACGUACGGAACGCCAUAACUUUUAAAUCGUGAGGACCGAUUCCGCCGAGAAUACCUUUUCAUAAAGCUCUCAAAAAGUUAAUGAAUGGCAAUGGAUCUUCUUUCCACUGGGCCUCAUUUUCGAACCCAAUUUUUUACGUUUAGGGUGUUACAAUGAGUAUUUUGGGAUUUGGAAGAGAUUAAAGGAUCUGAAAACGUGUUCGGACAUGAUUUAUGCGUCUUUUAGGAAUAAAAUAGCACUUUUAGGAAUAAAAGAGCAUGUUGAAGCUGGCUAAAAUGGUCCACGUAUCAAGUGGGACCCAUUACAAAUGAUCUCUUGAAUCCGCAGUAAAGGAUAUAUGCGAUUGCAUGCAAUGUACUAACAGAUGCGAUCAUACCAGCACUAAUGCAUCAGAUCCCAAUAGAAACCCGCAGAUAAGCGUGAUUGGGCGAGUGUAGUACUAGGAUUGGUGACCUCCCGGGAAGUCCUCGUGUUGCAU